This 4178-nucleotide unclassified non-coding RNA is filed under the name Hermetia illucens (black soldier fly). RNAcentral describes it as "serine-rich adhesin for platelets, transcript variant X2". Lineage: Eukaryota; Metazoa; Arthropoda; Insecta; Diptera; Stratiomyidae. The record is from RNAcentral.
AUCGUUUCAUGUCGCAUUUGGCCUGUCGGAGCGGUUCAUUCAUUUCUAUUUCGCCUUCGAUCGAGUGUUUAGUGAAUUGUCGACGUCGUGCGCUGUGCGAAUCGGGAAAAUCGGAGUCUUCGUCGUUGAGAUUGUGAAAUGCCAAAAUGUUUUGUUUUGUUCUGGCCGCGAUCCGUUGAAAAGAUUUGACUCAAAUGAAAACUUUCGAGGUUGGUUCGAUUUUCGCAGUCGUCCAAGUGUAGAGGAUUUUGUUGGAAAUUGUCGGGAAAACCUGUAGUUGGUCUUGCGCUUCCGCUUUGCAAUUUGCAUUGGUUUGUCUCGCGGUUUUUGCAGCUUCAUUGGAUUCGGGUGGAGUUUUGAGUGGUCUCGUUUUCUUGUCUGCUGUCGGGGCCAGUGCGUUGUCAAGUGUUUUGGUGUCGUUUGCCUUGUGAACGGGAGGACUCGUAAUCAUCCAUCGAACGGCAGAGAGGAUUGGGCCGGAAAGCAAGAAGCCGCCCGUCGCGAGCUCGUCCAAAAAGUCCGAGGAAAUCAACCUCAAGUCGGCCGAGUAAAAGGUGAAAAAAAGAAGGUACGGGAAUUUGGGGCGUCUCUGGCUCUUCGGUGGCUGGUUUUCGAAAGCAGUCAUCGCCUCGCGUACUUGGUCACGGAAUUUGUGUAUUUUCGGUGGAGCGUGUGUGCACGGCGGCAGGGAGGCUGGUGCGAUUGCAUUUCGGUGUAAUUAAUUGGCGGAGUGGACACGGACCACGUUGGCCAGCGAACAAGGAAGAGGUGUGUAGCCCAUUGGACGGGAAGCAAGCGCAUUCCGAUCAUUCGGACGGGAACCGCAAAUUUUCUCUCUAGAAGAAAUUGAAAAAUUGCAAGAAAAGCUGCUUUUUCUCUUUGCCCCUUCUGGAAAGGAGGGAAAGGAAAAAUCGUCGCCGUCGUCGUUGCAGCGCUCUACUUGAUAUUUUUCUUCUCCGCGUUGUCAAUGAUAAUAAAAGUAUCAAUUAAAGCUGGCUUUAAAAAUCUUUACCCAUUGUCUGGAUAGUAAAGACAAACAGAAAAAGAUCCAAUUGAAUAUCGUACAUGAUAGCUCUCCAUGUGCAACAAUGGACAGAAGUGUGGAUUCGAUUGGAAGUUGCUCCCUAGACGUUGAUGCCGAUUCAACAGAUUUCUCAGACACGAGCGGAAGUCUAAAUUUAGCAACACCAUCAUCCGGAAAGGAUAUUCCACGCGAGUUUACAUCAAGGAUAAAGGAGCGUUGUCAGAUCACGACCCAAACCCAGAUCAAUUACAACUGUCACCAGCAAACAUCGGCUAUCCUAGACUUGAAUUCUGGGAAGAUUAGUACGAUAGUGUCGCCAGCUUGUAUCGUUGAAUCGCCGCUUGGCAGCCCCGUGAAGAAGCCUAGCUAUCUGAAUUUAGCUUGUUGUGUCAAUGGUUACUCGAACUUGACCACCUAUGAUUCAAAAUUACGGCAAAACAUCAAUAAAUCUCGAGAGGUAUCACCGAUUCGACCAGCAACAAAUAACAACUUACCAUCACAAAAUCAUAGGCUUUCGGGUAACUUUCUAGCGGUGCCGCUAACAUCGUACGGUCACAAAUCAGCAUCCUCGUCGCCGUCCUCGAGGGAAGGAGCAGCGAUGGAGAAUCGACACAUUUUCACCCAGGUCCAGAACGUAGACACAACCGACAAUGUCGGAAGUGAUAUAUAUUUUAAAUCAUCUAAAUUCAUAAGUACCACAAAUCUGAAGGGUGACCUCCAUGAAAAUGACACAUCGAAAACGACGAAGAGUUUCAUACAGCAGCGGGUGGAACGGCUGUAUGGUCCCGGUGCUCUGGCGCAAGGUUUCUACAGUCCGAAAAAGACACGGAGUCAGGAGCUCUCGAUUCUUUCGGAACGUUCGUCUAAUUCACAAGUGAAAUUCUCAUCGUCUAAAACGAUAACGACCUUCGAACGUGAAAUCACAUCGUCGUCAACGACAAUAAAUGGUAAGACCACGAUGACAAGUUCUUCGAGCUUAGACCGAACGACGGUUAGUCAAGGAACCGGCAACGAAAACUGUGAGAACAUCCAAAACGGUGGCGGACUAUGUGACCUUCCGGUCCUACGACAUUUAAGGCCUGAAUUUCGUGCUCAGUUGCCUAUCAUGUCGCCAAAACGCUCACCUAACAAAUUCUCACUAAACGAGUCAAGUUCAUGUCCCGUUUUGCAAAACGGUACCAGUGGACUGCACAUCAAUGGGGCCAGUAAUGGGAAUGGGAAUUUAAGUGUGAACUGUAAGGUCGAUGGAAACGAUAAACAGAAGACGGGAACGGCAAUUACUGUCCAUUAUAUCGCUGACACAGAAACUCCCAAGAAACAUUCAAGUCAAAUGAAUGGAAGUGCGAACAAUAGCCUAACAUCUGAUGGGAAAAUUAUCGCUCCGAAUUCAACGCCGGCGGUGGGAUCCGCCGAUAAAUCGUCAUCUGAUAUCAAAAUAUUGUCAGAAAAACUUACGCAAGAGAAAAGUGAAUGUGAUAAGCUAUCGUCAUUGAAGCAACAGUCGCUGGACACAGAAGCAACAGGUAAAACGUGUCAGAGUGGAAUCAAUGCCAUGACUGUGGAAGUGACUCAUUCUUCGCCAAAUCUUACGCAUGACAUCCCGGACAAAUCGGCAGGACCUUUGCUCGUACCAGUCACUGCUCCUUCACAAACAACCGACAAAUACUCAGAGGAAAGUGGUUGCAGUAGCAACAAUGUGUCUACCGUGCGCGACGGCAACUAUUUUCUUCAAAUACUUAAGACUGAACAGGAUCGUCUCCUAGCAUUGGCCGAUCAGGCAGAGAAGGAAUUAGAAACAUUAUUAGCGUCUUCUACAUGUUCUUCAACGACUACUGCUACGUCAACGGUGGAGGUGUCGGAUGAUGUUUUGGGUUACCUUCGAUCGGCAUCAGGGAAAGCACGCUUACUAGUGUCGCAAAAGAUGAAACAAUUUGAAGGUCUAUGUAGAAAUAAUUUGAAUCAGUUACCAGACGAGAAAUUCCCAACAACAAAUGAAGACCUGCAAGGAUUCUGGGAUAUGGUCAUGUUACAAGUAGCACACGUCGAUUCGCUUUUUAAAGAAAUCGAAACUCUGAAAGCGAACAAUUGGAAGAAACCAGUGCAACAAGUUCCUAGUGCACCGCAAGGUUCAAAGCUUACACGUAGGCCGAACACCGCAAAGUCAUCAUCCAGCUCCACCAAUGCUACAACAACCAAUGGCAACGCAGCUGCAGCUAAAAAGACGAACGCUUCGAGUUUAGCGGCACAGCGGCGUGAAGCGCAACGCAAGCAACUGAUGGAGCUGAAGCGCAAGAACAAGCUGGCCAUGUCUGCAGGCGAACAGCAGCAACCCAAUCAAAAUCAAGUGGUAGAAAUUUUUGUAAACGAGCAAUCCAAUAGCUGAUUAUCGAAAAUUAUUUGGUACAUUGUAUUUAAAGUGACUAAACAACAAGAAAGAUUACUAUUUAUACCACUUUUCCAUGAUUUUCUUCUCUUCUUCAGAAAAAAACAAGAAAUUUUCUAGAUUUUAACCGAACCAUGGAACGAAAUUUGUGGCUUUCCAAGAGUUUUAUUUCUAUUCUUCCUUUCAAAAUUCUCUAUUGCUAGCGAGACUUAGGAGAAGAGCGAUAAAAUGACUACUUAUACAAAGUGAUUUAAUUGACAAACUUUUCUACGAUUACAGUAACAACAGAAGCAUAACCUAAAGUUCUGUAUGGUAUGAAAUUAUCAAUCUAGAAUAAUCUAUAUUUAAUGGUAAACUUGAGGACGUUAAAAAUGUUAGGAAGGAAAGCAAUGACGUAAAAUGAAGAACAAAGCAAACGUUAGACCUAGAAAAAAAGGCAAAAAAUUGAAUCAAACUUUCACUAAUUCAGUAAUACUUGUAGUGGUCCUUGCGAAUUGAACAUGAAAUUAAACGAAUUCAAAAUAUAGAAAAAAACCAACACAUAUAUAUUUAUAAAACGUGUAUGUAAAAGUUUCUCUCAGAUAAUGCAAAAAACGGAUUUAUUUAUUUUCAAGCAACUCCAGUGUCACACAGUCUCGAAUAAUUUAAAUGAUAAUAAAAGAAAUUUAAUGUUAACUGAUUGAUGAACGUAUUGGAAUUUAAAUAUAUUUCUAUGAUAUUGUUAUUAACAUAAAUUUAUUUAAAUAAAAACAAAAACCAAUUUUAAUAUUA